This 465-nucleotide ribosomal RNA is filed under the name Vreelandella stevensii. RNAcentral's name for it is "partial 16S ribosomal RNA". It matches the Rfam family "Bacterial small subunit ribosomal RNA", at positions 338 to 795 of the family's 1533-position model. The record is from RNAcentral. Lineage: Bacteria; Pseudomonadati; Pseudomonadota; Gammaproteobacteria; Oceanospirillales; Halomonadaceae.
CCUACGGGAGGCUGCAGUGGGGAAUAUUGGACAAUGGGCGAAAGCCUGAUCCAGCCAUGCCGCGUGUGUGAAGAAGGCCUUCGGGUUGUAAAGCACUUUCAGUGGGGAAGAAAGCCUUGGGGCUAAUACCCUCGAGGAAGGACAUCACCCACAGAAGAAGCACCGGCUAACUCCGUGCCAGCAGCCGCGGUAAUACGGAGGGUGCGAGCGUUAAUCGGAAUUACUGGGCGUAAAGCGCGCGUAGGCGGUCUGAUAAGCCGGUUGUGAAAGCCCCGGGCUCAACCUGGGAACGGCAUCCGGAACGGUCAGGCUAGAGUGCAGGAGAGGAAGGUAGAAUUCCCGGUGUAGCGGUGAAAUGCGUAGAGAUCGGGAGGAAUACCAGUGGCGAAGGCGGCCUUCUGGACUGACACUGACGCUGAGGUGCGAAAGCGUGGGUAGCAAACAGGAUUAGAUACCCGGGUAGUC